RNAcentral lists this transfer RNA (86 nucleotides) under SAR202 cluster bacterium. RNAcentral's name for it is "tRNA-Leu". It matches the Rfam family "tRNA". Rfam says of the family: Transfer RNA (tRNA) molecules are approximately 80 nucleotides in length. Their secondary structure includes four short double-helical elements and three loops (D, anti-codon, and T loops). Lineage: Bacteria; Bacillati; Chloroflexota; Dehalococcoidia. The record is from RNAcentral.
GCCCAGGUGGCGGAAUGGUAGACGCGGUGGACUUAAAAUCCACUUGCCGCAAGGCAGUGAAGGUUCGAAUCCUUUCCUGGGCACCA